RNAcentral lists this ribosomal RNA (319 nucleotides) under uncultured Pseudomonadota bacterium. RNAcentral's name for it is "bacterial SSU rRNA". It matches the Rfam family "Bacterial small subunit ribosomal RNA", at positions 30 to 351 of the family's 1533-position model. The record is from RNAcentral. Lineage: Bacteria; Pseudomonadati; Pseudomonadota.
AUUGAACGCUGGCGGUAUGCUUAACACAUGCAAGUCGAACGGUAGCAGGCCUUCGGGCGCUGACGAGUGGCGGACGGGUGAGUAAUGCAUAGGAAUCUGCCUAUUAGUGGGGGACAACGUGGGGAAACUCACGCUAAUACCGCAUACGUCCUACGGGAGAAAGCAGGGGACCUUCGGGCCUUGCGCUAUCAGAUGAGCCUAGGUCGGAUUAGCUAGUUGGUGAGGUAAUGGCUCACCAAGGCGACGAUCCGUAACUGGUCUGAGAGGAUGAUCAGUCACACUGGAACUGAGACACGGUCCAGACUCCUACGGGAGGCUG